CUCUGACAGGGAGCUAAGCAGUGCUCCCAUGCUCUGCGCCUGCUCCUAAGGGUCUCGACUGAAAUCGAGAGAGGGAAAACCUUCAAGUAUAAUGUUCCUUCAGCUUAAAACCUCAUCUGUAAAGGCAUCCAACCAGACGGCAGAGUUCAAAGAAUUUCUGUUUACAUCAGACAAGAUGUCAGUAUGUGAACUGUACCAUCCUGCUUUCCUGGACGAGUGGCUGUCACAUGACUGGAAACUUGAUCAAAUGUGAAUGUUAGUCUGCUUGAUAAGUUUUGUCACGGGGAGAAGAAACACUCGACAAGAGGUGCGUGAAUUAAAUGCCCCGGAGGGUGGGUUUAUUGACAAGUGAAGGGUGCCUGGUGAAGUGUCCUGAUCCGUUUUCCGCUGGUUGGUGCUUCCCGUGUGCUCUCCGUGCUCUUCGGUGCCACUCAGGGUGAAAGUGGGUGUCCUGACGUGCUCCCAAGGGUGUGGGCUGUCGGUCACUCGCUGCUUUCUGUGGAAGAAGGAGAGGGGGAUUAGUCCAGUGGUGCAUUCGGUUCGAGAACCCCUUCUGUGUGAAACAUGUGCUCCUUUUAAACGUGCUGGCUGAUGGGGAGCAGCUGUGACCGAUCAGCCGGUGACGAGGACGUGCAGGUGUUUUACUUUGGUUUCCAGGGCGACGCUGAUUCCUCUGGGAGUGCUCGUCACAUUCCCCCCCCCAAGCGUCGUUCUGGUCCUGCGGAGACAUGUUACUUUCUUUUU
Cyprinus carpio (common carp) is the source of this 744-nucleotide long non-coding RNA. The record is from Ensembl. Lineage: Eukaryota; Metazoa; Chordata; Actinopteri; Cypriniformes; Cyprinidae.